UAAUGAAACGGAGUGCGAUGAUAAUAUUUUAGUAACACUCGCGUCCGGUAGACAGAAAUCGCCCAUGAUUAUUGGAGAGUAUACUCGCGGCAUUAACGCCUGAAAACCCCCGAGGAUUUAUUUCGAGGUCCUUAAUGCGAGCUAAUUCGUAGUUACUGUGCAUACUGCUUAUUGUUUACUCGCUGGUACUUUUCGACGUUGAAAUCGUUUGCA
This is a non-coding RNA of Cinara cedri, 213 nucleotides long. The record is from the annotation of a GenBank genome assembly. NCBI's taxonomy places the organism in Eukaryota, Metazoa, Arthropoda, Insecta, Hemiptera, Aphididae.